This 378-nucleotide ribosomal RNA is filed under the name uncultured organism. RNAcentral describes it as "partial 16S ribosomal RNA". It matches the Rfam family "Bacterial small subunit ribosomal RNA", at positions 524 to 896 of the family's 1533-position model. The record is from RNAcentral.
GUAGGGGGGGGCGAGCGUUGUCCGGAUUUAUUGGGCGUAAAGAGCUCGUAGGGCGGCUUGGCAAGUCGGCGUGAAAGUCCGAGGCUCAACCUCGGAACGCCGGUCGAAACUGCCAUGGCUAGGGUCCGGUAGAGGAGAGUGGAAUUCCCGGUGUAGCGGUGAGAUGCGCAGAUAUCGGGAGGAACACCAGUAGCGAAGGCGGCUCUCCGGGCCGGUACCGACGCUGAGGAGCGAAAGCGUGGGGAGCAAACAGGAUUAGAUACCCUGGUAGUCCACGCCGUAAACGUUGGGCACUAGGUGUGGCGAGUUAUACCAACGCUUGCUGUGCCGUAGCUAACGCAUUAAGUGCCCCGCCUGGGGAGUACGGUCGCAAGGCUA